This 492-nucleotide ribosomal RNA is filed under the name uncultured bacterium. Its description in RNAcentral is "partial 16S ribosomal RNA". It matches the Rfam family "Bacterial small subunit ribosomal RNA", at positions 29 to 507 of the family's 1533-position model. The record is from RNAcentral.
AGUGAACGCUGGCGGUAGGCCUAACACAUGCAAGUCGAACGGCAGCACAGUAAGAGCUUGCUCUUACGGGUGGCGAGUGGCGGACGGGUGAGGAAUACAUCGGAAUCUACUUUUUCGUGGGGGAUAACGUAGGGAAACUUACGCUAAUACCGCAUACGACCUACGGGUGAAAGCAGGGGAUCUUCGGACCUUGCGCGAUUGAAUGAGCCGAUGUCGGAUUAGCUAGUUGGCGGGGUAAAGGCCCACCAAGGCGACGAUCCGUAGCUGGUCUGGGAGGAUGAUCAGCCACACUGGAACUGAGACACGGUCCAGACUCCUACGGGAGGCAGCAGUGGGGAAUAUUGGACAAUGGGCGCAAGCCUGAUCCAGCCAUACCGCGUGGGUGAAGAAGGCCUUCGGGUUGUAAAGCCCUUUUGUUGGGAAAGAAAAGCAGCAGGCUAAUACCCCGCUGUUCUGACGGUACCCAAAGAAUAAGCACCGGCUAACUUCGUG